Molecule: ribosomal RNA, 253 nt
Filed under: uncultured bacterium
Lineage: Bacteria
Description: partial 16S ribosomal RNA
Rfam family: Bacterial small subunit ribosomal RNA
Source: RNAcentral
UACGGAGGAUCCAAGCGUUAUCCGGAUUUAUUGGGUUUAAAGGGUGCGUAGGCGGAAUAGUAAGUCAGUGGUGAAAGCCUGUCGCUUAACGACAGAACUGCCAUUGAUACUGCUAAUCUUGAGUAUAAUUGAAGUGGGCGGAAUGUGUCGUGUAGCGGUGAAAUGCUUAGAUAUGACACAGAACACCGAUUGCGAAGGCAGCUCACUAAACUAUAACUGACGCUGAGGCGCGAAAGCGUGGGGAGCAAACAGG